AAAUAAGAAACAAAAUUUGUAAUUAGUUUCGACCUAAUAUUAUGAUGAUAAUUUCAUCCUUAUUUA
Molecule: transfer RNA, 66 nt
Filed under: Coleoptera sp. 1 KM-2017
Lineage: Eukaryota; Metazoa; Arthropoda; Insecta; Coleoptera
Description: tRNA-Arg
Source: RNAcentral